AUCCCUGUGGCUCAGUUGGUAGAGCAUGGUGUUUGCAACGCCAGGGUUGUGGGUUCAAUUCCCACAGGGGGCC
RNAcentral lists this transfer RNA (73 nucleotides) under Salmo salar (Atlantic salmon). It matches the Rfam family "tRNA". Rfam says of the family: Transfer RNA (tRNA) molecules are approximately 80 nucleotides in length. Their secondary structure includes four short double-helical elements and three loops (D, anti-codon, and T loops). Further hydrogen bonds mediate the characteristic L-shaped molecular structure. tRNAs have two regions of fundamental functional importance: the anti-codon, which is responsible for specific mRNA codon recognition, and the 3' end, to which the tRNAs corresponding amino acid is attached (by aminoacyl-tRNA synthetases). tRNAs cope with the degeneracy of the genetic code in two manners: having more than one tRNA (with a specific anti-codon) for a particular amino acid; and 'wobble' base-pairing, i.e. permitting non-standard base-pairing at the 3rd anti-codon position. The record is from Rfam by way of RNAcentral. Lineage: Eukaryota; Metazoa; Chordata; Actinopteri; Salmoniformes; Salmonidae.